UACGUAGGGAGCAAGCGUUAUCCGGAUUUAUUGGGUGUAAAGGGUGCGUAGACGGAGAAGCAAGUUAGUUGUGAAAUCCCUCGGCUUAACUGAGAAACUGCAACUAAAACUACUUCCCUUGAGUACUGGAGAGGAAAGUGGAAUUCCUAGUGUAGCGGUGAAAUGCGUAGAUAUUAGGAGGAACACCAGUGGCGAAGGCGACUUUCUGGACAGUAACUGACGUUGAGGCACGAAAGUGUGGGGAGCAAACAGG
Molecule: ribosomal RNA, 253 nt
Filed under: uncultured bacterium
Lineage: Bacteria
Description: partial 16S ribosomal RNA
Rfam family: Bacterial small subunit ribosomal RNA
Source: RNAcentral